This 484-nucleotide ribosomal RNA is filed under the name uncultured bacterium. RNAcentral describes it as "bacterial SSU rRNA". It matches the Rfam family "Bacterial small subunit ribosomal RNA", at positions 30 to 507 of the family's 1533-position model. The record is from RNAcentral.
AUUGAACGCUGGCGGAAUGCUUUACACAUGCAAGUCGAACGGCAGCACGGACUUCGGUCUGGUGGCGAGUGGCGAACGGGUGAGUAAUGUAUCGGAACGUGCCCAGUCGUGGGGGAUAACGUAGUGAAAAUUACGCUAAUACCGCAUACGAUCUAUGGAUGAAAGCGGGGGAUCGCAAGACCUCGCGCGAUUGGAGCGGCCGAUAUCAGAUUAGGUAGUUGGUAGGGUAAAGGCCUACCAAGCCAACGAUCUGUAGCUGGUCUGAGAGGACGACCAGCCACACUGGAACUGAGACACGGUCCAGACUCCUACGGGAGGCAGCAGUGGGGAAUUUUGGACAAUGGGCGAAAGCCUGAUCCAGCCAUUCCGCGUGCAGGAUGAAGGCCCUCGGGUUGUAAACUGCUUUUGUACAGAACGAAAAGGUUUCUACUAAUACUAGGAGCUCAUGACGGUACUGUAAGAAUAAGCACCGGCUAACUACGUG